AAUGAGAAAAUGACAAGUUAAAAUUUUUUUUCCUGAUUUUCAGUUUUUUCCUCCUGAAAAAAUUUAAAUUCAACUAAAAAUGCUAAAAAUCAGGAAAAAAAAUUUGAUUUAUCAUUCUCUCAUU
Non-coding RNA from Gossypium arboreum, 124 nucleotides. The record is from Rfam. Lineage: Eukaryota; Viridiplantae; Streptophyta; Magnoliopsida; Malvales; Malvaceae.